This 251-nucleotide ribosomal RNA is filed under the name uncultured prokaryote. RNAcentral describes it as "partial 16S rRNA". It matches the Rfam family "Bacterial small subunit ribosomal RNA", at positions 525 to 775 of the family's 1533-position model. The record is from RNAcentral.
ACGGAGGGUGCUAGCGUUGUUCGGAAUUACUGGGCGUAAAGGGCGCGUAGGCGGCUUGGGAAGUCGGAUGUGAAAGCCCGGGGCUCAACCUCGGAACUGCAUACGAAACUUUCAGGCUAGAGGACGGAAGAGGAGAGUGGAAUACCCAGUGUAGAGGUGAAAUUCGUAGAUAUUGGGUGGAACACCGGUGGCGAAAGCGGCUCUCUGGUCCGGUUCUGACGCUGAGGCGCGAAAGCGUGGGGAGCAAACAG